UACGUAGGGUGCAAGCGUUGUCCGGAAUUAUUGGGCGUAAAGAGCUCGUAGGCGGUUUGUUGCGUCGGCUGUGAAAUCCCGAGGCUCAACCUCGGGUCUGCAGUCGAUACGAGCAAACUAGAGUGUUGCAGGGGAGACUGGAAUUCCUGGUGUAGCGGUGAAAUGACGCAGAUAUCAGGAGGAACACCGGUGGCGAAGGCGGGUCUCUGGGCAAACAACGUG
This 222-nucleotide ribosomal RNA is filed under the name uncultured bacterium. RNAcentral's name for it is "partial 16S ribosomal RNA". It matches the Rfam family "Bacterial small subunit ribosomal RNA", at positions 524 to 742 of the family's 1533-position model. The record is from RNAcentral.